CUGUCAGUAUCGAGACCCACACCUCCAAUUAUUUCCCUCUCCACCAGCUUGCCAUCUUCACUCUCUAUGUCCAUCGUUCUCUCAAAACUCGACAGCGAUCGCUCACUCUCCGUCUCCGUCGAUUACCCACCCUCGUCACUUACCCUCACUCUCCUGAACAAGACCCAACUCAUCUCCAUUCCCCUCAAAACCAACUCUUACCCAGCCCGCUCCUCCACCACAAAACCAGACCUUACCUUCGAUAUCCAUGGAAACAAGCCAAAAAUUUCACUCAUCCUUAAAGCUGCUGUCUAUACCAGCUCACGAAGACCCCUCUGUAGCAUCGAUCUCUGUUUGGUUUCUGGAUUUGAACACGACGCAUGUGGGACGUCUCAAUCAUCGUUCUUCGUGGCACCAAAUAAGAGACAGACGACAGUACACCCGGACGACUGCACACAGACCAGCUUUGCACCGAUUUAAAUCCCACAGUUGAAACUCUUACCCCCUUAUUCCAGAUCAUUCACGGUGAUACAGGUAGACAAAUUUAUUUAUUGGGGCUUUUUUUGACAUGGAAUUUCUGUCAGAUCAUUCUCGGCGAUAUAGGUAUAAAAAUUGAUUUGUUGGGGCUUCCUUUUUGAAAUGGAAUUUCUAUCUCUUUUGAUUGUUUUGAUGUGGUGAGCAUGAAGUUUAGUUACUGAAUAUACACUGAUAGUGAGUAAAUCUGUUAAAAUGCUUUGCUUAUAAUGCUGUACACACCUAGGAUGCAUGGUUCUGUCACGAGAAUAUGAGUUUUGAGUGUGUGCAGUGAUAGUUUCUUGCUAUUAUUUUACUACUUAGUUGUCCCAACAAUGAUUCAGCAGCAGAUUAAAGGAGUAAUGCUCGCCCUAGCCCCUCACUCUCACUCUCACUCUCACUCUCAUUCUCUUGGUAUAGUGUUGAUUUAAUAUAUUUCUGUUUAUUUGUGUUGAUAGUUUGUUAAUUUGAUGUUCUAUGGGUAUGGGCUUGCUGAUAUGAUUUUUUUUUUUUUCUUUUGGCUUUUCAGAUUAGUGUUUAAUUCCUCAUCAUUCUUCACUGCUCUAACUAUUGUUAUUCCGUCUGUGCAGUGCAUAGGGAAUUGAGGUAGAUGAAGAGAAGGUGAAAGCUAAGGAGUGGUUUAUUCCUAAAUCUAUUUCAGAUGUGAGGAGCUUUUGUGGCCUUGCAAGCUUUUACAGGAGGUUUGUGCAGGAUUUCUCUAUUAUUGUAGCAUCACUCACAAGAAUUAUUAAGAAGGAAGUUGGCUUCAAGUGGGGAGAGGAGCAACAGAAAGCUUUUGAUUGCUUAAAAGGGAAGUAGCAUUCUCUCAUAUAUUAUCUUUACCUAAUUUUGAUAAAGUUUUUGAAAUUGAGUGAUAUUUCUGGCAUAGGUAUUGGGGCUGUGUUGAUGUUAGAGAAGAAACCAAUAGCUUAUUUCAGUGAGAAGUUGAAUGGAGCACAACUCAAUUACUCAACCUGUAAUAAGGAGCUGUAUAUAUUGGUGAGAGCACUGAACAUGUGACAACACUAUCUCCUACCCAAGGAGAUUGUGAUACAUACGGAUCAUGAGUCCUUAAAAUACUUGAAGGUAUAAGGCAAGUUGAAUAAGAGGUAUGGUAUGAUACGGAUCUAAUAAAUUAAAAUUUGUAACAAUGGUGUGGAGCAAUCUUAUAUCAUUCAAAUAGGUCUAAAAGGAGCUCAAAAUAAUAUUUAUAUGAUCCAAAUACACUUGGAGCAUGUUGCAAUUCAUAUGGAGCAAAUUUGGUGCAACACUUGCAAGAGGCUUAGAGGGUCUAAUCAAGCAUAUGAGCCAAAACUACACAAAGGGAAGUCUAAAGUGAAGAUUAAGAAAGACUUUUGUAAAGAUUCAGUUUUGUCAUGUUGGCUUGCUAUGUUUUAUGAUUUAAACACUUACUUUAUUUUGGUUUUGUUUGGACUUAUGUUCAGCAAGUAACAUAUUAUCAACAAACACAUCUAAAUCAUCACAGUCAUUAUGAGCAUCAAUCAAUUUAGUCAUAUCAACAUAUAUCUCAUCAUCACUAUGAUCAGAAUCAGACACUACACUUCCAUCAGCAGUUGCCAUCACAACUCUCUUAUUAAGGCGUUGAGAUGCAAUAUGUCCUUUCCCAAAGCAUUUAAAAUAUUUUAUAUCUUUACUAGAGGUAGAAGAGUUAGAAUUAAGAAAGUCAUUUGUUAGUAGAGACCAAAUCUUUGCCGCUUUGGAUUGGGCUUUUGUAAUAUUUUUUUUCUCUACUUCUAUAGCCUUGAAACCCACCACUACUGUUUGAGGACUUGUAUGUGGUUUUAAGGUUAUUUUUGCUCUUGUGACGCUUUUCUAUUUUCAUUGUUUUAUCAAUCAUAUCCUCUAUGGUAUUGUAUUGGUACAUGUUAAGUUGUUCAACUAUGUAGUGGUUAAGACCACCUAGAAAUUUGGAUAUCAACAUUUGUUCAUUCUCCUCAAUAUAAGUCUGAGCCAUUAUCAUCUCACCUCCUUGUGAUAUUCUUCUAUAUUCUUUCCUCCUUGCACCAAUCUUGUCAACCUGCUGUACAAAUUCCUAUAAUAGUGUGAAGGAAUGAAUCUCUGAUGUAUCAACUCUUUCAAAUAUUUCCAUAGUGAAACUGCCCUUAAACCCUUAUUCCUCCUAGUGGAUUUCAAUUGAUCCUAC
This is a long non-coding RNA of Manihot esculenta (cassava), 2656 nucleotides long. RefSeq lists it as uncharacterized. Lineage: Eukaryota; Viridiplantae; Streptophyta; Magnoliopsida; Malpighiales; Euphorbiaceae. The record is from RefSeq and is a predicted model, not a curated record. The transcript is spliced from 2 exons.